This 273-nucleotide ribosomal RNA is filed under the name uncultured bacterium. Its description in RNAcentral is "partial 16S ribosomal RNA". It matches the Rfam family "Bacterial small subunit ribosomal RNA", at positions 524 to 796 of the family's 1533-position model. The record is from RNAcentral.
UACGAAGGACCCGAGCGUUAUCCGGAUUCAUUGGGUUUAAAGGGUGCGUAGGCGGAUUGAUAAGUCAGUGGUGAAAUCCCAUCGCUUAACGGUGGAACUGCCAUUGAUACUGUCGAUCUUGAAUAUGUUUGAUGUGGGCGGAAUAUGACAUGUAGCGGUGAAAUGCUUAGAUAUGUCAUAGAACACCGAUUGCGAAGGCAGCUCACAAAGCCAUUAUUGACGCUGAGGCACGAAAGUGCGGGGAUCAAACAGGAUUAGAAACCCCCGUAGUCC